UACAGAGGUGGCAAGCGUUGUUCGGAAUUACUGGGCGUAAAGGGCGCGUAGGCGGCCUUCUAAGUCGGACGUGAAAGCCCCAGGCUUAACCUGGGAACUGCGUCCGAUACUGGGAGGCUUGGAUUCGGGAGAGGGAUGUGGAAUUCCAGGUGUAGCGGUGAAAUGCGUAGAUAUCUGGAGGAACACCGGUGGCGAAGGCGGCAUCCUGGGCCGAGAUCGACGCUGAGGCGCGAAAGCGUGGGUAGCAAACAGG
Molecule: ribosomal RNA, 253 nt
Filed under: uncultured bacterium
Lineage: Bacteria
Description: partial 16S ribosomal RNA
Rfam family: Bacterial small subunit ribosomal RNA
Source: RNAcentral